GGUUCCGUGGCCCAGUGGUUAGCGUGUUUGACUCGUAAGCAAGCUUUCCGGGUUCAAUCCCUGGCCGAGUCU
Molecule: transfer RNA, 72 nt
Filed under: Nematostella vectensis (starlet sea anemone)
Lineage: Eukaryota; Metazoa; Cnidaria; Anthozoa; Actiniaria; Edwardsiidae
Rfam family: tRNA
About the family: Transfer RNA (tRNA) molecules are approximately 80 nucleotides in length. Their secondary structure includes four short double-helical elements and three loops (D, anti-codon, and T loops).
Source: Rfam by way of RNAcentral